AUUGAACGCUGGCGGCAUGCCUUACACAUGCAAGUCGAACGGCAGCGGGCCCUUCGGGGUGCCGGCGAGUGGCGAACGGGUGAGUAAUGCAUCGGAACGUUCCCGGGAGAGGGGGAUAACCGGCCGAAAGGCUGGCUAAUACCGCAUGAACUCGGAAGAGCAAAGCGGGGGACCUUCGGGCCUCGCGCUCUCGGAGCGGCCGAGGUCCGAUUAGGCUAGUUGGUGGGGUAAAGGCCCACCAAGGCGACGAUCGGUAGCGGGUCUGAGAGGACGAUCCGCCACACUGGGACUGAGACACGGCCCAGGCUCCUACGGGAGGCAGCAGUGGGGAAUCUUGGACAAUGGGCGCAAGCCUGAUCCAGCAAUGCCGCGUGGGUGAAGAAGGCCUUCGGGUUGUAAAGCCCUUUCGGCGGGGAAGAAAUCGGUCAGGCGAAUAGUCUGGCUGGAUGACGGUACCCGCAGAAGAAGCACCGGCUAACUACGUG
RNAcentral lists this ribosomal RNA (485 nucleotides) under uncultured bacterium. Its description in RNAcentral is "partial 16S ribosomal RNA". It matches the Rfam family "Bacterial small subunit ribosomal RNA", at positions 28 to 507 of the family's 1533-position model. The record is from RNAcentral.